RNAcentral lists this ribosomal RNA (431 nucleotides) under uncultured bacterium. Its description in RNAcentral is "partial 16S ribosomal RNA". It matches the Rfam family "Bacterial small subunit ribosomal RNA", at positions 29 to 507 of the family's 1533-position model. The record is from RNAcentral.
AACGAACGCUGGCGGCAGGCCUAACACAUGCAAGUCGAGCGCCCUUUCGGGGGAGCGGCGGACGGGUGAGUAACGCGUGGGAAUAUGCCCUUCUCUACGGAAUAGCCUCGGGAAACUGAGAGUAAUACCGUAUACGCCCUGUGGGGGAAAGAUUUAUCGGGGAAGGACUAGCCCGCGUUGGAUUAGGUAGUUGGUGGGGUAAUGGCCUACCAAGCCGACGAUCCAUAGCUGGUUUGAGAGGAUGAUCAGCCACACUGGGACUGAGACACGGCCCAGACUCCUACGGGAGGCAGCAGUGGGGAAUCUUAGACAAUGGGGGCAACCCUGAUCUAGCCAUGCCGCGUGAGUGAUGAAGGCCUUAGGGUUGUAAAGCUCUUUCAGCUGGGAAGAUAAUGACGGUACCAGCAGAAGAAGCCCCGGCUAACUCCGUG